AUUGAACGCUGGCGGCAGGCCUAACACAUGCAAGUCGAGCGAGCGGCGGACGGGUGUGUAAUGUCUGGGAAACUGCCUGAUGGAGGGGGAUAACUACUGGAAACGGUAGCUAAUACCGCAUACCAUCAGAUGUGCCCAGGUGGGAUUAGCUAGUAGGUGGGGUAACGGCUCACCUAGGCGACGAUCCCUAGCGGGUCUGAGAGGAUGACCAGCCACACUGGAACUGAGACACGGUCCAGACUCCUACGGGAGGCAGCAGUGGGGAAUAUUGCACAAUGGGCGCAAGCCUGAUGCAGCCAUGCCGCGUGUGUGAAGAAGGCCUUCGGGUUGUAAAGCACUUUCAGCAGGGAGGCGUUACCCGCAGAGAAAGCACCGGCUAACUCCGUGCCAGCAGCCGCGGUAAUUC
Molecule: ribosomal RNA, 406 nt
Filed under: uncultured bacterium
Lineage: Bacteria
Description: partial 16S ribosomal RNA
Rfam family: Bacterial small subunit ribosomal RNA
Source: RNAcentral